This 115-nucleotide transfer RNA is filed under the name Cellulomonas soli. RNAcentral's name for it is "tRNA-OTHER". The record is from RNAcentral. Lineage: Bacteria; Bacillati; Actinomycetota; Actinomycetes; Micrococcales; Cellulomonadaceae.
CCACUCGAGGCGCCAGACGGCUAGCGCGUAUCGGGCGCUGACCUGCAAAUACACCCGGUCAGCACUGGAGCCGCCCUCCCAGCGGUUACUGGUUCGAGUCCAGUCGAGGGAGCCA